ACCCAAUAAAGAAUUUCAGUUCAACUUUAAAUUUACCUAAAGGAAUAACAACCUAAAUGUAAAUUUAAAAUAUAGCCUAAAGAGGGACAGCUCUUUAGGAAAGGAAACAACCUUUAGUAGAGAGUAAGAUAAAAACAUACUAACCAUAGUUGGCUUAAAAGCAGCCACCAAUAAAGAAAGCGUUCAAGCUCAACACUUAAAAACUAUAAUACCUAAAAUUUUAUCAAUCUCCUACAUUCAUAAUUGGGUUAAUCUAUUAACAAAUAGAAGAGAUACUGUUAGUAUGAGUAACAAGAAUAAUAUUCUCCAUGCACAAGCCUAUAACAACCCGGAUAACCAUUGUUAGUUAACACAAAUAAAGCAUGUUAAACUACCUAUAAAUAAACUUUUAAAAUAAUGUUAAUCCAACACAGGUGUGCUUUAAGGAAAGAUUAAAAGGAAUAAAAGGAACUCGGCAAACACGAAUCCCGCCUGUUUACCAAAAACAUAACCUCUAGCAUCACAAGUAUUAGAGGCAAUGCCUGCCCAGUGACUAAGUUCAACGGCCGCGGUAUCCUGACCGUGCAAAGGUAGCAUAAUCACUUGUUCCUUAAUUAGGGACUAGAAUGAAUGGCUAAACGAGGAUUCAACUGUCUCUUAUUCCCAAUCAGUGAAAUUGACCUUCCAGUGAAGAGGCUGGAAUAACCUAAUAAGACGAGAAGACCCUAUGGAGCUUUAAUCUAACUUAUUAGCUUAUAUCACAACUAACCUACUGGUUUAAAAACAUAAAAGCAUAAUAAGAAGAUUUCGGUUGGGGUGACCUCGGAGCAUAAAAAAUCCUCCGAAUGAUUAUAGCUAAGGCACACAAGCCAAAGCACCUAUAAUCUUAUUGACCCAAACAUAUUUGAUCAACGGACCAAGUUACCCUAGGGAUAACAGCGCAAUCCUAUUAGAGAGUCCAUAUCGACAAUUAGGGUUUACGACCUCGAUGUUGGAUCAGGACAUCCCAAUGGUGCAGAAGCUAUUAAAGGUUCGUUUGUUCAACGAUUAAAG
Molecule: ribosomal RNA, 1032 nt
Filed under: Cricetulus griseus (Chinese hamster)
Lineage: Eukaryota; Metazoa; Chordata; Mammalia; Rodentia; Cricetidae
Description: partial 16S ribosomal RNA
Rfam family: Bacterial large subunit ribosomal RNA
Source: RNAcentral